CAUCGUCCAAGGCGGAUAGAAACCGAUGAAAAAGGCCUUUCCCGGUCGCCGGGAAAGGCCUUUUUUUCUUUGGUAUCAUUCCUCUUCCGCAGCGGCUGC
This 99-nucleotide small RNA is filed under the name Paenibacillus sp. P22. Its description in RNAcentral is "mraW RNA". Lineage: Bacteria; Bacillati; Bacillota; Bacilli; Caryophanales; Paenibacillaceae. The record is from RNAcentral.